This 148-nucleotide small nucleolar RNA is filed under the name Microcebus murinus (gray mouse lemur). RNAcentral describes it as "Small Cajal body specific RNA 21 (ENSMICG00000024554.3)". It matches the Rfam family "Small Cajal body specific RNA 21". From Rfam's summary of the family: scaRNAs are a specific class of small nuclear RNAs which localise to the Cajal bodies and guide the modification of RNA polymerase II transcribed spliceosomal RNAs U1, U2, U4, U5 and U12. ACA68 (SCARNA21) is a member of the H/ACA class of snoRNAs that guide the sites of modification of uridines to pseudouridines. This snoRNA was identified by computational screening and its expression in mouse experimentally verified by Northern blot and primer extension analysis. The record is from Rfam by way of RNAcentral. Lineage: Eukaryota; Metazoa; Chordata; Mammalia; Primates; Cheirogaleidae.
UGGCGAAGUUUCCUGGGAGUGUGCUCAGCCUACUCCACCUCCUCUCAGUCUAGCCUAGAGUAAAGAGGCCAGAUGUGCCCCCCCACCCCCCCCAUGGGAGAGGCAUUUAAAUAAGAAGCCUCACCUGGGCUGUUCUAGCCUUAUAUUU